AAACGAUUGAAGUCAGUCGUGUUCUUUGGAUUCAGCUAGUUCUUCUAGUCUACUUCCUUUGAACGGGUCAACAUCAGUUUUGUCCGGUGGAUAAAGAUAGUAGGAAUGUAGCUCCCUCGGGAGUGUUAUAGACUAUUAUUGCAUGCACUGGGUGAGACUGAGGACUGCAGCUCGCCUUUUGGCCGGCCUUCGGGUACGUUCGAGCUUAGGAUGUUGACAUAAUGGCUUUAAACGA
This 235-nucleotide ribosomal RNA is filed under the name Cutaneotrichosporon moniliiforme. Its description in RNAcentral is "partial large subunit ribosomal RNA". Lineage: Eukaryota; Fungi; Basidiomycota; Tremellomycetes; Trichosporonales; Trichosporonaceae. The record is from RNAcentral.